GUGAGGAAUAUUGCGCAAUGGAGGCAACUCUGACGCAGCCAUGCCGCGUGCAGGAAGAAGGCGCUACGCGUUGUAAACUGCUUUUAACCGGGAAGAAACCCCAGGACGUGUCCUGGGUUGACGGUACCGGAGGAAUAAGCACCGGCUAACUUCGUGCCAGCAGCCGCGGUAAUACGAAGGGUGCAAGCGUUAUCCGGAUUCAUUGGGUUUAAAGGGUGCGUAGGCGGAGCGUUAAGUCAGUGGUGAAAUCCUGCAGCUUAACUGUAGACUUGCCAUUGAUACUGGCGCUCUUGAGUGCGCUUGAAGUGGGCGGAAUGUGCCGUGUAGCGGUGAAAUGCUUAGAUAUGGCACAGAACACCAAUUGCGAAGGCAGCUCACUAAGGCGAUACUGACGCUGAGGCACGAAAGCGUGGGGAUCGAACAGGAUUAGAUACCCGAGAGUCC
RNAcentral lists this ribosomal RNA (444 nucleotides) under uncultured bacterium. RNAcentral describes it as "bacterial SSU rRNA". It matches the Rfam family "Bacterial small subunit ribosomal RNA", at positions 354 to 796 of the family's 1533-position model. The record is from RNAcentral.